GCCUGAGUGGCUCAGUCGGUCAAGCGUCUGACUUCAGCUCAGGUCGUGAUCUUCUGGUUCACGGGUUCGAGCCCUGCAUCGGGCU
This 85-nucleotide transfer RNA is filed under the name Felis catus (domestic cat). It matches the Rfam family "tRNA". From Rfam's summary of the family: Transfer RNA (tRNA) molecules are approximately 80 nucleotides in length. Their secondary structure includes four short double-helical elements and three loops (D, anti-codon, and T loops). The record is from Rfam by way of RNAcentral. Lineage: Eukaryota; Metazoa; Chordata; Mammalia; Carnivora; Felidae.